AGUGAUAGUGUAGCGCGGUGGUCCCACCUGACCCCAUGCCGAACUCAGAAGUGAAACGCCGUAGCGCCGAUGGUAGUGUGGGGUCUCCCCAUGCGAGAGUAGGGAACUGCCAGGC
RNAcentral lists this ribosomal RNA (115 nucleotides) under Escherichia coli. The record is from RNAcentral. Lineage: Bacteria; Pseudomonadati; Pseudomonadota; Gammaproteobacteria; Enterobacterales; Enterobacteriaceae.